RNAcentral lists this ribosomal RNA (465 nucleotides) under Vreelandella stevensii. RNAcentral's name for it is "partial 16S ribosomal RNA". It matches the Rfam family "Bacterial small subunit ribosomal RNA", at positions 338 to 795 of the family's 1533-position model. The record is from RNAcentral. Lineage: Bacteria; Pseudomonadati; Pseudomonadota; Gammaproteobacteria; Oceanospirillales; Halomonadaceae.
CCUACGGGUGGCUGCAGUGGGGAAUAUUGGACAAUGGGGGGAACCCUGAUCCAGCCAUGCCGCGUGUGUGAAGAAGGCCCUCGGGUUGUAAAGCACUUUCAGUGAGGAAGAACGCCUGGUGGUUAAUACCCAUCAGGAAAGACAUCACUCACAGAAGAAGCACCGGCUAACUCCGUGCCAGCAGCCGCGGUAAUACGGAGGGUGCGAGCGUUAAUCGGAAUUACUGGGCGUAAAGCGCGCGUAGGUGGCUUGAUAAGUCGGUUGUGAAAGCCCCGGGCUCAACCUGGGAACGGCAUCCGGAACUGUCAAGCUAGAGUGCAGGAGAGGAAGGUAGAAUUCCCGGUGUAGCGGUGAAAUGCGUAGAGAUCGGGAGGAAUACCAGUGGCGAAGGCGGCCUUCUGGACUGACACUGACACUGAGGUGCGAAAGCGUGGGUAGCAAACAGGAUUAGAUACCCUUGUAGUC